GUGAAGUAAAUUGCGGUAUUUCAUAAGUUUUAUAGUUGAUGUUCAAAAUAUUAAAAUAUGUCUUUGUCCCGAUUUUGAAAGUGAAACAUUUUUACAUUUAUUGAAUUGUUAAAUGAUGUUUGUGUGUUUCAGAGUUUUUUGUGUGUGUGUCUAAUGCAUAUACUGUAUUGCAUAAUGUCUUUUGAGAGUUAUAAUAAGGGCUUGGGGCUUUCCUUACUAGAAGAGAGCUCCCUGAGUACAUGAUCUUUCUUGUUCACCCUUAUAUGUUCAAGCCUGGAAUAUAGCUCAUGCUCAACAAAUGAAAGACCAAAUUUUCUUUUAUCAGGCCCUUCAACUGAACAAAACAAUGACUGAAACAAACACAAUGGAAUUAAUAUUCUCUUCACAGCUAAACAGAUCUUUUAUUCUCUCUCCCAGGCCUGAGGCCUCAUGCCUGCUGCUUUAGAAGGGUUUCACUAAGUCACUUAACUACCCAACUUGCAACUUUCCUUGCACUUUCCUGCCUCACCCUCCUCAAUUUCUGGGAUUAAAGGCAUCUGCCACCAGUUCUGGC
This 553-nucleotide long non-coding RNA is filed under the name Heterocephalus glaber (naked mole-rat). RNAcentral's name for it is "lncRNA (ENSHGLG00100051610.1)". The record is from RNAcentral. Lineage: Eukaryota; Metazoa; Chordata; Mammalia; Rodentia; Bathyergidae.